GAAAGUUCCUUUUUCCUGGCCUAGACCUGGGAGCUGCCAGGCUGCUGUGAGGGCCUGGGCUUGAACUGUACCAAUUUUUCACAAAAAGAAGAGGAAAUUGAAGAGCAGAUGAUUUCAUAACGGUUGGCCACUGAUGCUUUACAGAGCUGCAGGGCGGACCGAGGAAGGACGGGACGCGGUACCCAGCCGGGCAGCUCCGCGAGGUCAGCCCCGCUCGGCCUGUGAUGCCCUCCAGUGGCAGCCGCGUGUGCUGCCGUGCUGGGCGAGGGGAGCGGGAAGAGCGCUCCGAAGUGCUUCCUGUCCCGGGAUGCAAAGAUAUUUCUGUUGCUGCCUUAGCAGUCUCAUAAGCCAUCCCUGGUGAUGACCACUGAGUCAUGCUCUGAAAAACUGGCUGUUCCUGUGAUCUGCAGAUUCAUUGAGCCAGCAACGUAGUGGCAGAGCUGUUUGGUACUCUUAGAGCCUCAGUUGCACAGUGUGCAUGUACCUCGUAGCUGGCUCAGCAAAUCAGUCCUUGCAGCACAUCUGUGAGAUGGUUGUCUGGGUUGAUAUAACAUCAGAGAUGAGCAGCUCAUCCUGGAGCCAGAAUACAGGUAAAGUUUAAACACUUGAGAUGAAAGCUGUGGGUGGAGAGUGAUGUUGUGGGGCCAUUCAGAGGGCCAACACAAGGUAGACUUUCAUCAGAAUGGCUUCAUUCACCUGGCAGUCUUUGUAUACUAAAGGUGUCCUUGAGGAGUGUCAGUCCUCCUGCUACCUCUGCUCUGAUAUUUGUUGUUUUUGUUUUAUUUUUGCAGGUCUUUCUCUCAUUGUAAAGAGCGUGGCGUUCAGUUUUGGCAGAUAAAGGUUAAAUAUGCUCCACUGCACGGAAGCUGGACCUUGAAUCAAGGCAUACAUUUUUAACUGAAGGGAGAAGAAGGUGUUAAAACAAUUCAGAAGUGUGGUGCUUUCUCACUGCUUUGUUCACUGUACACUUUAGCUGUUGUUCUCUGGUACAGCCUUUCAGUAUGUUAGCAUUGCUCACCUGGCCACCUUGUGCCCUGUGUAUUAACAGUGGUUGCAGGCUGAGUCACCUGUUUGUAGGAGACACGUGUUGUGCUCAUUGCAAGACACUGAAAUUGUCUGACCUGCCUCAUAGGAGGUUGGACGAGAUAAUCAUAACAGCGCUUUUCUGUCUUGGAAGUCUGUGAAUUCCUGGUGGGCUAAGAAAUGAAGCUAUACUUGCAUAGUUCAGUGCUGCCAAAAACAAAACCCGUUUUGUUUUCCAAGCUGUAAGUCAGUAUUCAAGUGAAGAAGGCACUAACCACUGUUCUAAGAGCAUAUUCUGCUCCUGUUUUCAUGGUUUCUGAAAAGCUUAUUUUGGGGAAAUGCAUUUCUUCUCUUAAUUUCUCAGCCAAUUGGAGAAAAACAGACAAGCUUUUGGCACACAUUUCUACAUCAAGUCUCUCUAAAUUUUGCCAAGCUUUAUUUAUAAGGACCAUGUCUACUGUAGAGACAACCUGUUCCUGACAAACCGCUAGAAUAGAAAAUUUGAACCAAUUAUUUUUGUAAUGAAUGUACAAUAAAUCUGUUGAAAAGCUAUCUGUUAAUGACUCU
Molecule: long non-coding RNA, 1590 nt
Organism: Chrysolophus pictus (golden pheasant)
Lineage: Eukaryota; Metazoa; Chordata; Aves; Galliformes; Phasianidae
Source: Ensembl